GCAGACUCACUCUGCACCUGGAUGCAGUCCCAGGCAGAUGCUUUUCCCGUCUGCCACAGAAACAGCCCAGGGUACUGUGACCUGUCAAGGGUGAUGCAGGUGCCCAGGAACACAGGA
Small nucleolar RNA from Myotis lucifugus (little brown bat), 117 nucleotides. Ensembl annotates it as small nucleolar RNA SNORA77. Lineage: Eukaryota; Metazoa; Chordata; Mammalia; Chiroptera; Vespertilionidae. The record is from Ensembl.